This is a long non-coding RNA of Oncorhynchus gorbuscha (pink salmon), 477 nucleotides long. RefSeq lists it as uncharacterized. The record is from RefSeq and is a predicted model, not a curated record. Lineage: Eukaryota; Metazoa; Chordata; Actinopteri; Salmoniformes; Salmonidae. The transcript has 3 exons.
AGUUAUGGCCAACAGAGGGCAACAUUUAUCCAUAAAAUACGAUAAAACCUCACUGAAUCAAAAUGAAUUGGGUGACAUUGGACAUUUUUUAGAUAUCGUAUGUGAUCAGUAACAAUGCAUUCAUUUCCCGGAGUGGUCGCUCUGUGCUUUUGUAGUUGACGUAAUAAUAUACGAUGGAAUAUAGAAGACUAUGACGUAAACGAACUAAAAAAAAAGGUUCAGUGUGCUACUUUUGCCUCAGUCGAGUUGAUGUUUUGCAUAGGACAGUCAUCCUCAUGUUCAAAUAAAUCGCUUUGAGUGGACAAAGAAGACAUUCUGUGUCCAGUCUGAAGGGUGCCUGAAAGCACAAUGGAUAGAAAUCAUAAACCGUUGAGAAAAAUGAUUCUAAAAGCUGGGACCCUCCAAGCUAGUGCUGGAGAGCAGGUCCCCCAGACAGACAUCACUGACCAUGAUGGACUAAGGCUGCCAGCCCUGGUA